AUUGAACGAUGGCGGCAGGCUUAACACAUGCAAGUCUAGCGAGCGGCGGACGGGUGAGUAAUGUCUGGGCAACUGCCUGAUGGAGGGGGAUAAGUACUGGAAACGGUAGCUAAUACCGCAUACCAUCAGAUGUGCCCAGAUGGGAUUAGCAAGUAGGUGGGGUAAUGGCUCACCUAGGCGCCGAUCCCUAGCUGGUCUGCGAGGAUGACCAGCCACACUGUAACUGAGAUACGGGCCAGAAUCCGACGGUAGGCAGCAGUGGGGAAUAUUGCACAAUGGGCGCAAGCCUGAUGCAGCUAUGACGCGUGUGUGAAGAAGGCCUUCGGGUUUUAAAGCACUUUCAGCGAGUAGGCGUUACUCGCAGAAGAAGCACCGGCUAACUCCGUGCAAGCAGCCGCGGUAAGAC
Molecule: ribosomal RNA, 406 nt
Filed under: uncultured bacterium
Lineage: Bacteria
Description: partial 16S ribosomal RNA
Rfam family: Bacterial small subunit ribosomal RNA
Source: RNAcentral